This 397-nucleotide ribosomal RNA is filed under the name uncultured bacterium. Its description in RNAcentral is "bacterial SSU rRNA". It matches the Rfam family "Bacterial small subunit ribosomal RNA", at positions 32 to 408 of the family's 1533-position model. The record is from RNAcentral.
AAUCAACGCUGGCGGCGUGCCUCAGACAUGCAAGUCGAACGCGAAAGGCCCCUUCGGGGGCUGAGUAGAGUGGCGCACGGGUGAGUAACACGUAGGUAAUUUGCCUUCGGGUGGGGAAUAACAGCCGGAAACGGCUGCUAAUACCGCAUAAUGCAGCGGCUCGACAUCGAGACAGUUGUUAAAGCGGGGGAUCGCAAGACCUCGCGCCUGAAGAGAAGCCUGCGGCAGAUUAGCUAGUUGGUAGGGUAAUGGCCUACCAAGGCGACGAUCUGUAACCGGCCUGAGAGGGCGGUCGGUCACACUGACACUGACAUACGGGUCAGACUCCUACGGGAGGCAGCAGUCGGGAAUUUUGGGCAAUGGGCGAAAGCCUGACCCAGCAACGCCGCGUGAAGGA